GACGAACGCUGGCGGCGUGCCUAAUACAUGCAAGUCGAACGCAGUGGGGACGGGUGAGUAACACGUGGGUAACCUCCCCAUCAGAGGGGAUAACACUUGGAAACAGGUGCUAAACCGAUAUUGAUGGAUGGACCCGCGGGGCAUUAGCUAGUGGGGGAGGUAAAGGCUCACCAAGGCCACGAUGCAUAGCCGACCGGAGAGGGUGAUCGGCCAAACUUGAACUGAGACACGGCCCAGACUCCGACGGGAGGCAGCAGUAGGGAAUCGUCGGCAAUGGACGAAAGUCUGACCGAGCAACGCCGCGUGAGUGAAGAAGGUUUUCGGAUCGUAAAACUCUGUUGUUAGAGAAGCGGUAGCUAACCAGAAAGCCACGGCUAACUACGUGCCAGCAGCCGCGGUAAUUC
This 404-nucleotide ribosomal RNA is filed under the name uncultured bacterium. RNAcentral describes it as "partial 16S ribosomal RNA". It matches the Rfam family "Bacterial small subunit ribosomal RNA", at positions 28 to 526 of the family's 1533-position model. The record is from RNAcentral.